This 406-nucleotide ribosomal RNA is filed under the name uncultured bacterium. RNAcentral describes it as "partial 16S ribosomal RNA". It matches the Rfam family "Bacterial small subunit ribosomal RNA", at positions 30 to 526 of the family's 1533-position model. The record is from RNAcentral.
AUUGAACGCUGGCGGCAGGCCUAACACAUGCAAGUCGAACGAGUGGCGGACGGGUGCGUAAUGUCUGGGAAACUGCGCGAUGGCUGGGGAUAACUACUGGAAACGGUAGCUAAUACCGCCUACCAUCGGAUGUGCACCGAUUGGAUUAGCUAGUAGGUGGGGUGACGGCUCACCUAGGCGACGAUCCCUAGCUGGUCUGAGAGGAUGACCAGCCACAUGGGAACUGAGACACGGUCCAGACUCCUACGGGAGGCAGCAGUGGGAAAUAUUGCACAAUGGGCGAAAGCCUGAUGCAGCCAUGCCGCGUGUAUGAAGAAGGCCUUCGGGUUGUAAAGUACUUUCAGCGAGGAGGCGUUACUCGCAGAAGAAGCACCGGCUAACUCCGUGCCAGCAGCCGCGGUAAUUC